RNAcentral lists this ribosomal RNA (655 nucleotides) under uncultured fungus. RNAcentral's name for it is "eukaryotic LSU rRNA". It matches the Rfam family "Eukaryotic large subunit ribosomal RNA", at positions 34 to 667 of the family's 3401-position model. The record is from RNAcentral. Lineage: Eukaryota; Fungi.
UUAAGCAUAUCAAUAAGCGGAGGAAAAGAAACUAACAAGGAUUCCCCUAGUAACUGCGAGUGAAGCGGGAAAAGCUCAAAUUUAAAAUCUGGCAGAUGUUUGUCUGUCCGAGUUGUAACCUAGAGAAGUGUAACCUGUGCUGGACCGUGUACAAGUCUCCUGGAAUGGAGCAUCAUAGAGGGUGAGAAUCCCGUCUUUGACAUGGACUACCAGUGCACUGUGGUUGCGCACUCAACGAGUCGAGUUGUUUGGGAAUGCAGCUCUAAAUGGGUGGUAAAUUCCAUCUAAAGCUAAAUAUUGGCGAGAGACCGAUAGCGAACAAGUACCGUGAGGGAAAGAUGAAAAGAACUUUGGAAAGAGAGUUAAACAGUAUGUGAAAUUGUUGAAAGGGAAACACUUGAAGUCAGCUGCAUUGGCUGGGGAUCAAGCCAGCUUAUUUGCUGGGUGUACUUCCUGGUUGAUGGGCCAACAUCAGUUUUGACCAUCAGAGAAAGGCUAAGGGAAUGUGGCACCUUUAUAGGUGUGUUAUAGCCCUUGGUUGUAUGUGGUGGAUGGGACUGAGGAUAGCAGCGUGCCGCAAGGCCGGGUUUCGACCACGUUCACGCUUUGGAUGUUGGCAUAAUGGCUUUAAGUGACCCGUCUUGAAACACGGACC